RNAcentral lists this ribosomal RNA (253 nucleotides) under uncultured bacterium. Its description in RNAcentral is "partial 16S ribosomal RNA". It matches the Rfam family "Bacterial small subunit ribosomal RNA", at positions 524 to 776 of the family's 1533-position model. The record is from RNAcentral.
UACAGAGGUGGCAAGCGUUGUUCGGAAUUACUGGGCGUAAAGGGCGCGUAGGCGGUUCGAUAAGUCCUGUGUGAAAUCCCUCGGCUCAACUGAGGAACUGCACGGGAGACUGUCGGGCUUGAGUUCGGGAGAGGGAAGCGGAAUUCCGGGUGUAGCGGUGAAAUGCGUAGAUAUCCGGAGGAACACCGGUGGCGAAGGCGGCUUCCUGGACCGACAUUGACGCUGAGGAGCGAAAGCUAGGGGAGCAAACGGG